This 467-nucleotide ribosomal RNA is filed under the name uncultured bacterium. RNAcentral's name for it is "partial 16S ribosomal RNA". It matches the Rfam family "Bacterial small subunit ribosomal RNA", at positions 28 to 507 of the family's 1533-position model. The record is from RNAcentral.
GACGAACGCUGGCGGCGUGCUUAACACAUGCAAGUCGAACGGAAAGGCCCUGCUUUUGUGGGGUGCUCGAGUGGCGAACGGGUGAGUAACACGUGAGUAACCUGCCCUUGACUUUGGGAUAACUUCAGGAAACUGGGGCUAAUACCGGAUAGGAGCUCCUGCUGCAUGGUGGGGGUUGGAAAGUUUCGGCGGUUGGGGAUGGACUCGCGGCUUAUCAGCUUGUUGGUGGGGUAGUGGCUUACCAAGGCUUUGACGGGUAGCCGGCCUGAGAGGGUGACCGGCCACAUGGGACCGAGGUACCGGCCAAGCCCCUUCGGGGGGGCAGAGGGGGGAAAUAUGCAAAAUGGGCCGGAGCCUUAAUCAGGAACCCCGCGGGCGGGGAUACGGGCUUUGGGUUGGAAACCGCUUUCGCCUGUGACGAAGCGUGAGUGACGGUAAUGGGUAAAGAAGCACCGGCUAACUACGUG